RNAcentral lists this long non-coding RNA (426 nucleotides) under Falco tinnunculus (common kestrel). RNAcentral describes it as "lncRNA (ENSFTIG00000005478.1)". Lineage: Eukaryota; Metazoa; Chordata; Aves; Falconiformes; Falconidae. The record is from RNAcentral.
CUUCACCAUGCCCUGACUGCUAGCAUAACAUGGAGUUCUCUUUUUUUAUUUUUUUUAUAAACCCAGUCACAACACGGAAAGAGGAGGAGGAGGAGGAGGAAGAGAGAGAAAGAGAGAACUAAACCCCCUGAAGGAUGGUUCUCAAAAAAUUCUGGCGGAACCACGGGGGACUCCUCGGCGAGCGGGAACCGGCCGCGGAGCCAUAAAGAAUAAAAGUACCACGGUGAUUGCUGAACAAAGCAGAUCCCGGGCGGCUGCUUGCGACUCUCAAUAGGAUUUAAAAUUCGUGCCCCGCUCCUGGCUGCGGCUGGCGGAGCGCCCUGCGUGCCGGUACAGAGGGGCUGCCGGGGGGGGCACGUCUCAGGUGACAUUCCCUUUAAAUUAAUGGCAAGAUUAAUAUUUCAUAUGCAGCAGACACAAACUUUC